UGCAGUCGAGCGGAACGAGUUAUCUGAACCUUCGGGGAACGAUAACGGCGUCGAGCGGCGGACGGGUGAGUAAUGCCUAGGAAAUUGCCCUGAUGUGGGGGAUAACCAUUGGAAACGAUGGCUAAUACCGCAUGAUGCCUACGGGCCAAAGAGGGGGACCUUCGGGCCUCUCGCGUCAGGAUAUGCCUAGGUGGGAUUAGCUAGUUGGUGAGGUAAGGGCUCACCAAGGCGACGAUCCCUAGCUGGUCUGAGAGGAUGAUCAGCCACACUGGAACUGAGACACGGUCCAGACUCCUACGGGAGGCAGCAGUGGGGAAUAUUGCACAAUGGGCGCAAGCCUGAUGCAGCCAUGCCGCGUGUAUGAAGAAGGCCUUCGGGUUGUAAAGUACUUUCAGUCGUGAGGAAGGCGGUGUCGUUAAUAGCGGCGUUGUUUGACGUUAGCGACAGAAGAAGCACCGGCUAACUCCGUGCCAGCAGCCGCGGUAAUACGGAGGGUGCGAGCGUUAAUCGGAAUUACUGGGCGUAAAGCGCAUGCAGGUGGUUUGUUAAGUCAGAUGUGAAAGCCCGGGGCUCAACCUCGGAAUAGCAUUUGAAACUGGCAGACUAGAGUACUGUAGAGGGGGGUAGAAUUUCAGGUGUAGCGGUGAAAUGCGUAGAGAUCUGAAGGAAUACCGGUGGCGAAGGCGGCCCCCUGGACAGAUACUGACACUCAGAUGCGA
This 719-nucleotide ribosomal RNA is filed under the name Vibrio sp. Its description in RNAcentral is "bacterial SSU rRNA". It matches the Rfam family "Bacterial small subunit ribosomal RNA", at positions 56 to 756 of the family's 1533-position model. The record is from RNAcentral. Lineage: Bacteria; Pseudomonadati; Pseudomonadota; Gammaproteobacteria; Vibrionales; Vibrionaceae.